This 148-nucleotide non-coding RNA is filed under the name Chlorocebus sabaeus (green monkey). Lineage: Eukaryota; Metazoa; Chordata; Mammalia; Primates; Cercopithecidae. The record is from Rfam by way of RNAcentral.
GCUGGGUGUGGUGACGUGCACCUGUAAUCCCAGCUACUCAGGAGGCUGAGGCAGGAGAAUCGCUUGAACCCAGGAGGCAGAGGUUGCAGUGAGCCGAGAUUGCACCACUGCACUCCAGCCUGGGCAACAGAGUGAGACUCUGUCUCAA